GACGAACGCUGGCGGCGUGCUUAACACAUGCAAGUCGAGCGGUGCGGCGAACGGGUGAGUAACGCGUGAGUAACUGCCCCCCUCUCUGGGAUAACAGAUGGAAACGGCUGCUCAUACCGGAUAGUGGGGGAUGAAUCGCGUCCUAUAAGCUUGUUGGUGGGGUAGGGGCCUACGAAGGCGACGACGGGUUGCCGGCCUGGCGGGGCGAACGGCCACAUUGUGCUGUGAUACGGGCCAAACUCCUACGGGAGGCAGCGGUGGGGAAUAUUGCACAAUGGGGGAAACCCUGAUGCAGCAACGCCGCGUGCGGGAUGUCGGCCUUCGGGUUGUGAACCGCUUUCAGCCAUGACGCGGUAGUGGCAGAAGAAGCACCGGCUAACUACGUGCCAGCAGCCGCGGUAAUAC
This 405-nucleotide ribosomal RNA is filed under the name uncultured bacterium. Its description in RNAcentral is "partial 16S ribosomal RNA". It matches the Rfam family "Bacterial small subunit ribosomal RNA", at positions 28 to 526 of the family's 1533-position model. The record is from RNAcentral.